GCCUGGGUGGCUCAGUCAGCUGAGCGCCCGACUUCGGCUCAGGUCAUCAUCUCACAGUUUGUGGGUUCGAGACCCGCAUCGGGCU
RNAcentral lists this transfer RNA (85 nucleotides) under Felis catus (domestic cat). It matches the Rfam family "tRNA". Rfam says of the family: Transfer RNA (tRNA) molecules are approximately 80 nucleotides in length. The record is from Rfam by way of RNAcentral. Lineage: Eukaryota; Metazoa; Chordata; Mammalia; Carnivora; Felidae.